UGCGGGCCAAUGGAAGUCAAAUACAAAUCUUUCCAGCUGUGAUUCCUAAUGACCAGAGAACAAUGCAUGUGUAAAAGCAGCAGGGGGAAAAAAAAGACAGUAACAGACAAAAAGAGGAGCUUAGCGGCACGAUUUUUCAUGGUGACAAAGAGAUGAGGAUGAGUAUCUUCCUUGGGGACCUGCAUCCUCUGGCUUGCAAACCCCACAGCUCUCUUACGUGGGACUGAACUUGUGGUAAAGGGAGGCGUCAUUUCAAGUGCUGCUUCCUUUCUCAGAGCCUCCGUCAGUCUUUGUGAAACAAGAUUAACAACAUGCGUGUUUAAAAUACAGUAGCAGGUGCAGCAGGAGGGAUGUGGGGUGCAGGAGACCCCCAAAACCCACUUAUGGGCUGCCUAGGCCAAACAAGUGGGACAGCACCAUCCGAGCAGCAAACAGCGACGUCCAUUGCCCCAGGCCUGCUGCGGGCACAGCUGUGCAGGGUCGGCUCUCCACCGCCACCAUCUCGCUCAUCUACUCCCAUCCCAUCUAGCAGCGCGUCAUGUUGUGAAACGCAAUGUCAGUUCAGCACAAGUUGAAGCCCUUUCUCAAGGCGAGGGAACUCAAGUGCACUCAGGACCCAAAGCAGAGCCCAGGCACUUGUUGCCGCGGCCUGGGCAUCCCAGACGAUCCCCUAAGCUUAGCUCUGUUCUCCAUAACCUCAGAGUGCACUCUUCAAGCUCAGCCACAGCAAGCAGUUCCCACAUCUCAUGGCACAGGCAUACUUGCUCGAAACCCAGAAGAAGGUGGAAGGUACUGGGUUCUCCUGCAGAAAACGUGACUUGGCUCUAGCUUUGUUUUCCAGGGUGAGAAAGGCACAACAGAUAGAACAUUGCCAGAAGAAACACAGCUUCAGACAGCCUUGCUGCUGCAGCGGCAGAACGGGAGCCAUACCUGAACUGCUGGAGAGCCUUGCAGAACUCCACAGCCAUGGGAGGGCAACUCUUGAGCUAGCUGGAUGCACUGCUCCAAUGCUGAAAGUCUUUCUAACUCUGACUGAAGGCACAUAUGUUUUCUUUUCACAGGUUCACAGGUAAGACGUUUUGUAGGCUCCGAAAAGAGGCACAGCUUGUUGAAAAUCAGACUUGCUCUGUCUCAGUACUUCACAAGACCACACUGGUGUGACUAACAUUGCGGUACUCUAAAUCUGAUUCAACACACCACUCUGCAAAGUUGGUUUUGACCAAAUGUUUGAGACAAGCUGGAAUGGGGCAACCAAAUCAGGGAUUAGUUUCACAGCAAGAUAAACGACAGCCCAGUUUUCCACAUCUCAGAGGCUGCCCUUUCCAAACCACAACAUAUUGUGAACCAGUUCACAUGUCUCCAGGGGCAGGCUGCUUGCUUCUUCAGCAACAGACUGCAAAGAGCCAUUGCACGCCCAGGACAGAGGGGCUUCUG
Columba livia (rock pigeon) is the source of this 1434-nucleotide long non-coding RNA. RefSeq lists it as uncharacterized. The record is from RefSeq and is a predicted model, not a curated record. NCBI's taxonomy places the organism in Eukaryota, Metazoa, Chordata, Aves, Columbiformes, Columbidae. The transcript is spliced from 3 exons.